UACAACUGACGAAAUUAAAACUAAAAGAUACCCAAGAAACACAGAUCGUAUGCGAUCAUAUCACAUGCUUUUGUUUAGUAAAGUUACGUAGGAACAGUUGCCAUGGGAACAGAAGAGGGCAGUAGGGCGGAUUCGUCGGGGUGUUUUUAUCCGAGUGAUGAGGAAAUUGAGAAAUGGAUGGACAGCGCUUUUGACAUGGCCAAAGACGCUCUGGAGAAUGGAGAGGUGCCGGUUGGAUGUCUGAUGGUCUACAACGAUGAAGUCGUGGGCAAAGGACGGAAUGAAGUCAACGAGACCAAAAAUGCCACUCGCCACGCUGAGAUGGUGGCCCUGGACCAGCUCCUGGACUGGUGUCGGCGUGGCAACCUGGAUGUGAGCAUCGUGUGCGAGCGAACGGCCCUGUAUGUCACCGUGGAGCCGUGCAUCAUGUGUGCUGCAGCGCUGCGCCUGCUCAGUAUCCUGCACCAACCUCUGCAUGUGUGUGUGUAUAUGUGUGCAGCUGUUGUUCCUUCACCAGCUGUCAGGUAUCCCUGUGGUCGUGUACGGCUGCAGGAACGAGCGCUUUGGAGGCUGUGGUUCAGUCGUGGACGUUUCCUCUGCAGACUUACCUCAGACUGGGACCACAUUCAAGGUCCGUGUUCGUCCCUGGUGGUUUUUAUUUGUGUGUUCUUGUUCACUGUGCUUGUGUGUUGAUGUUUGUGGUGUUUCCCUGCAGCCAGAUUCAAAGUGUGUAUAGGACCGUGUGUCUUGUGUGUGUGUUCAGUGUGUUUCAGGUCACAGAGCAGAAGAAGCUGUAGAGAUGCUGAAGACUUUCUACAAACAGGAGAAUCCAAACGCUCCGAAACCCAAAACAAGGAAGGACUGAGCAUCAGCUGUACAUUACAUCAUUAUCUUGUUUGUAUUUACCUCA
Chelmon rostratus (copperband butterflyfish) is the source of this 910-nucleotide RNA transcript. It is a transcript of the gene named adenosine deaminase tRNA specific 2, with no coding region annotated. The transcript has 4 exons. The record is from RefSeq and is a predicted model, not a curated record. Lineage: Eukaryota; Metazoa; Chordata; Actinopteri; Chaetodontiformes; Chaetodontidae.